RNAcentral lists this ribosomal RNA (422 nucleotides) under uncultured bacterium. Its description in RNAcentral is "bacterial SSU rRNA". It matches the Rfam family "Bacterial small subunit ribosomal RNA", at positions 355 to 774 of the family's 1533-position model. The record is from RNAcentral.
UGAGGAAUAUUGGUCAAUGGGGGCAACCCUGAACCAGCCAAGUCGCGUGAAGGAUGAAGGUCUUAUGGAUUGUAAACUUCUUUUACACGGGAAUAAAGCGGGGGACGUGUCCCCCUUUGCAUGUACCGUGUGAAUAAGGAUCGGCUAACUCCGUGCCAGCAGCCGCGGUAAUACGGAGGAUCCGAGCGUUAUCCGGAUUUAUUGGGUUUAAAGGGUGCGCAGGCGGGAUGUUAAGUCGGCGGUGAAAUUUUGCAGCUCAACUGUAAAAGUGCCUUCGAUACUGGCCUCCUUGAGUGUGGAUGAAGUAGGCGGAAUUUGUGGUGUAGCGGUGAAAUGCUUAGAUAUCACGAGGAACUCCGAUUGCGCAGGCAGCUUACUAAGCCACAACUGACGCUCAUGCACGAAGGCGUGGGGAUCAAACA